This 500-nucleotide ribosomal RNA is filed under the name uncultured bacterium. RNAcentral's name for it is "partial 16S ribosomal RNA". It matches the Rfam family "Bacterial small subunit ribosomal RNA", at positions 30 to 523 of the family's 1533-position model. The record is from RNAcentral.
AUUGAACGCUGGCGGCAUGCCUUACACAUGCAAGUCGAACGGUAACGGGUCCUUCGGGAUGCCGACGAGUGGCGAACGGGUGAGUAAUAUAUCGGAACGUGCCCAGUAGUGGGGGGUAACUGCUCGAAAGAGCAGCUAAUACCGCAUACGACCUGAGGGUGAAAGGGGGGGAUCGCAAGACCUCUCGCUAUUGGAGCGGCCGAUAUCAGAUUAGCUAGUUGGUGGGGUAAAGGCCUACCAAGGCAACGAUCUGUAGUUGGUCUGAGAGGACGACCAGCCACACUGGGACUGAAACACGGCCCAGACUCCUACGGGAGGCAGCAGUGGGGAAUUUUGGACAAUGGGCGCAAGCCUGAUCCAGCAAUGCCGCGUGCAGGAAGAAGGCCUUCGGGUUGUAAACUGCUUUUGUCAGGGAAGAAAUCUUCUGGGCUAAUACCCCGGGAGGAUGACGGUACCUGAAGAAUAAGCACCGGCUAACUUCGUGCCAGCAGCCGCAGUAA